Molecule: ribosomal RNA, 410 nt
Filed under: uncultured bacterium
Lineage: Bacteria
Description: bacterial SSU rRNA
Rfam family: Bacterial small subunit ribosomal RNA
Source: RNAcentral
AGGGAAUAUUGCGCAAUGGAGGAAACUCUGACGCAGCGACGCCGCGUGAGCGAUGAAGGUUUUCGGAUCGUAAAGCUCUGUCCUUGGGGAAGAAGGUCUUCGGACUUGACGGUACCCAAGAAGAAAGCCCCGGCUAACUACGUGCCAGCAGCCGCGGUAAUACGUAGGGGGCAAGCGUUGUCCGGAAUUAUUGGGCGUAAAGGGUGCGUAGGCGGCCUUUUAAGUCAGAUGUGAAAGCCCGCGGCUUAACUGCGGGAUCGCAUUUGAAACUGGGAGGCUUGAGUAUCGGAGAGGGUAGUGGAAUUCCCAGUGUAGCGGUGAAAUGCGUAGAUAUUGGGAGGAACACCAGUGGCGAAGGCGACUGCCUGGACGAAAACUGACGCUGAGGCACGAAAGCUAGGGGAGCAAAC